UCCUCUGCAGUCGACUGC
RNAcentral lists this microRNA (18 nucleotides) under Triticum aestivum (bread wheat). RNAcentral's name for it is "tae-miR10516". The record is from miRBase by way of RNAcentral. Lineage: Eukaryota; Viridiplantae; Streptophyta; Magnoliopsida; Poales; Poaceae.